UUAUUUAUUAUAAUGUGUUAAUAUAUAUACAUGCACAAAUAAAAAAUUAUAAGAUGUACUUAUACACACACACACACACAUAAAAAAAAAAAAAAAAAGUUAUAGAGGUAAAGAAUGAAGUUAAGUGUAACUUUUUAGGUAGAAAUGAUGGAGUGACCUUAAGAACAGAUUCUUGGACCUAGGGAUGAAAUCUGAUUUUAGGGUGUUCGGAAGGGUGUUUCAAGAAAGGAUACACUGGUUAUGACCAUGUUGUUGAUACCAGACGAAUGAACAAAUUAAGAACUGAAUUAAGUCGUAGAAACAAAGAAUUUUGGAUGUCACUUGGAAAACUUCUUGGGCAGAAACUUCUUUGGGCAUUUAUAUAAAUGAAACUCCAGGACAUUUCAAGAUUCAAUUCACAUUUUUCAGGAGAUUGUAUCAUAAAAUCAACAACAGGUAUGCCAUGAGAAAAUGGAACAUAUUUUCCUAAUUUUAACACAAUGUUUCAGAUUUUUCUUUUUGAUAAUAAAUAUUAACAAUGUU
Hydra vulgaris (swiftwater hydra) is the source of this 522-nucleotide long non-coding RNA. RefSeq lists it as uncharacterized. The record is from RefSeq and is a predicted model, not a curated record. Lineage: Eukaryota; Metazoa; Cnidaria; Hydrozoa; Anthoathecata; Hydridae.